RNAcentral lists this ribosomal RNA (497 nucleotides) under uncultured bacterium. RNAcentral's name for it is "partial 16S ribosomal RNA". It matches the Rfam family "Bacterial small subunit ribosomal RNA", at positions 28 to 507 of the family's 1533-position model. The record is from RNAcentral.
GAUGAACGCUGGCGGCGUGCCUAAUACAUGCAAGUCGAGCGAACAGACGAGGAGCUUGCUCCUCUGACGUUAGCGGCGGACGGGUGAGUAACACGUGGAUAACCUACCUAUAAGACUGGGAUAACUUCGGGAAACCGGAGCUAAUACCGGAUAAUAUAUUGAACCGCAUGGUUCAAUAGUGAAAGACGGUUUUGCUGUCACUUAUAGAUGGAUCCGCGCCGCAUUAGCUAGUUGGUAAGGUAACGGCUUACCAAGGCAACGGUGCGUAGCCGACCUGAGAGGGUGAUCGGCCACACUGGAACUGAGACACGGUCCAGACUCCUACGGGAGGCAGCAGUAGGGAAUCUUCCGCAAUGGGCGAAAGCCUGACGGAGCAACGCCGCGUGAGUGAUGAAGGUCUUCGGAUCGUAAAACUCUGUUAUUAGGGAAGAACAAAUGUGUAAGUAACUAUGCACGUCUUGACGGUACCUAAUCAGAAAGCCACGGCUAACUACGUG